GACGAACCGUGCGAACGUUGUUCGGAAUCACUGGGCUUAAAGGGCGCGUAGGCGGGUUCCCAAGUUCGGGGUGAAAUCUUUCGGCUUAACCGGAAAACUGCCUUGAAUACUGGGAGUCUCGAGCGAGGUAGGGGCAGCUGGAACUUCCGGUGGAGCGGUGAAAUGCGUAGAUAUCCGGAGGAGUACCAAAGGCGAAGGCAGUGUCCUGGGGAGUGUCUGACGCUCAGGCGCGAAAGCUAGGGGAGCGAACAGG
Molecule: ribosomal RNA, 253 nt
Filed under: uncultured bacterium
Lineage: Bacteria
Description: partial 16S ribosomal RNA
Rfam family: Bacterial small subunit ribosomal RNA
Source: RNAcentral